Microcebus murinus (gray mouse lemur) is the source of this 461-nucleotide non-coding RNA. NCBI's taxonomy places the organism in Eukaryota, Metazoa, Chordata, Mammalia, Primates, Cheirogaleidae. The record is from RefSeq and is a predicted model, not a curated record.
UUAAGGAUGGCCAUGUGACCACACCUAGCCAAUAGAAGACCUCUCUGGGACUUUUGCUAGAUCUAUUGGGAAGAAUAUCCUUACUCUGAAGCGUGAAGUCUCUGUAUUAGCUUCCAAUCUGAGAGGAUUCUGCUGCCCGCUGAGAUUCUGCGCUCUUGUAGCGACUUCAAAUGCCGUGAGAAAACUGAGGCUCAGGCAUGGUUUCUGACUCACCCACGGGCACCCAUCUUUCAGGGCAGAGAUCUGCAUCCAAAUCCAGGUACGUCUGUCACCAGGCCGUCUUCCCCCGCCAGAUCACAUCACGAAGGAAACACUCGGAGCCCUUGCUGUGUGUCAGUGUCUCUGGGGAGAACAACGCUGAGGAAUGUGACAUCUCAUCCCCAUCAGCUUUGGCGACAAAUGAACUUGUAUUUGAAUCCUGGAAAGUUUGUGCUUGAUUGAUCUUUAUUUCUCAUCGAGAA